AACGAACGCUGGCGGCAUGCCUAACACAUGCAAGUCGAACGAGACCUUCGGGUCUAGUGGCGCACGGGUACGUAACGCGUGGGAACCUGCCCUUAGGUUCGGAAUAACUCCCCGAAAGGGGUGCUAAUACCGGAUAAUGUCUUCGGACCAAAGAUUUAUCGCCUUUGGAUGGGCCCGCGUUGGAUUAGCUAGUUGGUAGGGUAAAAGCCUACCAAGGCGACGAUCCAUAGCUGGUCUGAGAGGAUGAUCAGCCACACUGGGACUGAGACACGGCCCAGACUCCUACGGGAGGCAGCAGUGGAGAAUAUUGGACAAUGGGCGAAAGCCUGAUCCAGCAAUGCCGCGUGAGUGAUGAAGGCCUUAGGGUUGUAAAGCUCUUUUACCCGGGAUGAUAAUGACAGUACCGGGAGAAUAAGCGCCGGCUAACUCCGUG
This 433-nucleotide ribosomal RNA is filed under the name uncultured bacterium. RNAcentral's name for it is "partial 16S ribosomal RNA". It matches the Rfam family "Bacterial small subunit ribosomal RNA", at positions 29 to 507 of the family's 1533-position model. The record is from RNAcentral.